RNAcentral lists this transfer RNA (69 nucleotides) under Rattus norvegicus (Norway rat). It matches the Rfam family "tRNA". Rfam says of the family: Transfer RNA (tRNA) molecules are approximately 80 nucleotides in length. Their secondary structure includes four short double-helical elements and three loops (D, anti-codon, and T loops). The record is from Rfam by way of RNAcentral. Lineage: Eukaryota; Metazoa; Chordata; Mammalia; Rodentia; Muridae.
GGGGCUUUAGCUCAAUGGUAGAGCGCUUGCCUAGCAAGCGCAAGGCCCUGGGUUCGGUCCCCAGCUCCA